CGACCGCUGGCGGCGUGCUUACCACAUGCACGUCGAACGGAAAGGCCCUGCUUUUGUGGGGUGCUCGAGUGGCGAACGGGUGAGUAACACGUGAGUAACCUGCCCUUGACUUUGGGAUAACUUCAGGAAACUGGGGCUAAUACCGGAUAGGAGCUCCUGCUGCAUGGUGGGGGUUGGAAAGUUUCGGCGGUUGGGGAUGGACUCGCGGCUUAUCAGCUUGUUGGUGGGGUAGUGGCUUACCAAGGCUUUGACGGGUAGCCGGCCUGAGAGGGUGACCGGCCACAUUGGGACUGAGAUACGGCCCAGACUCCUACGGGAGGCAGCAGUGGGGAAUAUUGCACAAUGGGCGGAAGCCUGAUGCAGCAACGCCGCGUGCGGGAUGACGGCCUUCGGGUUGUAAACCGCUUUCGCCUGUGACGAAGCGUGAGUGACGGUAAUGGGUAAAGAAGCACCGGCUAACUACGUG
Molecule: ribosomal RNA, 466 nt
Filed under: uncultured bacterium
Lineage: Bacteria
Description: partial 16S ribosomal RNA
Rfam family: Bacterial small subunit ribosomal RNA
Source: RNAcentral